RNAcentral lists this ribosomal RNA (415 nucleotides) under Microbacterium sp. F285. Its description in RNAcentral is "bacterial SSU rRNA". It matches the Rfam family "Bacterial small subunit ribosomal RNA", at positions 117 to 546 of the family's 1533-position model. Lineage: Bacteria; Bacillati; Actinomycetota; Actinomycetes; Micrococcales; Microbacteriaceae. The record is from RNAcentral.
GUGAGCAACCUGCCCUGGACUCUGGGAUAAGCGCUGGAAACGGCGUCUAAUACUGGAUAUGAGCCCCUAUCGCAUGGUGGGGGUUGGAAAGAUUUUUUGGUCUGGGAUGGGCUCGCGGCCUAUCAGCUUGUUGGUGAGGUAAUGGCUCACCAAGGCGUCGACGGGUAGCCGGCCUGAGAGGGUGACCGGCCACACUGGGACUGAGACACGGCCCAGACUCCUACGGGAGGCAGCAGUGGGGAAUAUUGCACAAUGGGCGAAAGCCUGAUGCAGCAACGCCGCGUGAGGGAUGACGGCCUUCGGGUUGUAAACCUCUUUUAGCAGGGAAGAAGCGAAAGUGACGGUACCUGCAGAAAAAGCGCCGGCUAACUACGUGCCAGCAGCCGCGGUAAUACGUAGGGCGCAAGCGUUAUCC